RNAcentral lists this ribosomal RNA (482 nucleotides) under uncultured bacterium. RNAcentral's name for it is "partial 16S ribosomal RNA". It matches the Rfam family "Bacterial small subunit ribosomal RNA", at positions 28 to 507 of the family's 1533-position model. The record is from RNAcentral.
GAUGAACGCUAGCGGCAGGCCUAAUACAUGCAAGUCGGACGGGAUUCAGGAGCUUGCUUCUGAUGAGAGUGGCGCACGGGUGCGUAACACGUAUGUAACCUACCUUUAUCAGGGGGAUAGCCUCUCGAAAGAGAGAUUAAGCCCGCAUAAAAUCACAGCACAGCAUUGUGUAAUGAUCAAAUAUUUAUAGGAUAAAGAUGGGCAUGCGGAACAUUAGCUAGAUGGCGGGGUAACGGCCCACCAUGGCGACGAUGUUUAGGGGAUCUGAGAGGAUGGCCCCCCACACUGGUACUGAGACACGGACCAGACGCCUACGGGAGGCAGCAGUAAGGAAUAUUGGUCAAUGGGCGGAAGCCUGAACCAGCCAUGCCGCGUGCAGGAAGACGGCCCUACGGGUUGUAAACUGCUUUUAUACGGGAAUAAACCCAGAUACGUGUAUCUGGCUGAAUGUACUGUAAGAAUAAGGAUCGGCUAACCCCGUG